RNAcentral lists this long non-coding RNA (6563 nucleotides) under Homo sapiens (human). RNAcentral describes it as "non-protein coding lnc-PREX1-3:1". The record is from RNAcentral. Lineage: Eukaryota; Metazoa; Chordata; Mammalia; Primates; Hominidae.
ACUUCACUCUGGAGGCCGUUCUCAGAGCCUAUUUCACAGCUCAUUCAGAAGGAAAAUGAGGGGGCCUUUUCCAUUUCCAGUAUUAAAUGAUUUAAUUCACAAGGGACUUGGUCAACACAAGUAUCCCAACAGAGCCCAGGCCCUGUAUCAUUUGCAAUUUACCAUUCUGAUUAAAACCAACCCAACCCCAUCAAGCUCUGCAUGGGGUGAACCAGCCGAAACUGCACCACAGGCCCCAGCAGGACAUCCGGCCCAGGGAACUGAGGCCGGGGAGGGGAGGGGGAGCCGGGAGUGCCUCUGCCUCAUUUCAGGAGACUGAUAUGAAUGGUAGGAAAUCCGGUCCCCCCUUAAGAUGGAUGUUUCUGUAGAAAUACAUCUGAUAAAUGUUUAAUUACAUUUUAAGAGGGACCAUUAUUCAUGGAACAGUCAUUAGCCCCAGAGGACUUCAAGCCCCUCACCUGGUUAAGAGCCACGUUCAUAUGCAGAUCAGCCCCCCACUUCCAACACUCCCUGCUCCAAGAGGAGAGCAGCUGGGAGAGCCUGGUGAGCUCUCCAUCAAAACAGGGUGACACAGGGCAGCAGUGGGGUGGCCAGUGGCUUGGCUGUGGGUGGGAGAUUUCAGACAGGUCGACAUAAGCCAGGAACCUGAAUCAAGGCGUCGAGACCUCAGCCCCACCCCGACCCACCUGUUCUAAGGGUCCCUGCAGGGCUCCGUAAUCCCCACCUGUGACAGACUCCCCUCCUGAAGCUCUUGAUGCUUCCCAGGCCCCCUCGAAGUCCUGUGGUUCCCUGGAGAUGCUGUCAGCCCACAAGGUGCCAGGAAGGACCUUCUUGGGAUGAAAGACUUGGGUGAACCUGUCCUGGGUGACAUGCAGUGGGUGUGUCGCUCAGAGUUCUGAGGUGGCAGGUGACAGAAUCCACGUAAGGUCCUGAAGCAAGGAAAAGCAGAACCGACCAGAAGGUCCCAGGAGCAGGAGUCCCAGGUCUUUGAGGGGCAGGAACUAGGGCAUCCUGGAGCUCUGGGUGGCAGGGGCAAGUGAGAAGAGCUUGCUGAGGGCUGCUCAGUAUAAGCCCAGGUGACUUAAGUCCCAGAAAAAAAACCGGUGGGCCCUUACCCAUAGAAGGCAGCAGAGCCAGACCAUUGCCGUGCACUCCAGGAGGUGCAGGCACCAUUCUGCCUCUCAGCCCUGCCAGGAAACUUCUCCCUUCCUCUUUCCCCUCGCCCUCCUCUACCAGGUGGAAUUAAUUAGCAAAAAAACACAAACACAAAAACAAACUCUCAAUGCCUAAAUAGCAUUGUUUAUUUGUCACUGACUUCACCUUGUAUUUGCCUGUCUUUGUGCCUCAGUCUCUAAAAUGAGCACAAAAUGAACAUUCAAGGGAGAUAAGUGUGCACUGGCCUGGGGAGUGGGGGGAGACAGCUUCAAUCUGUCAAACAGCCUAUUCCAUGUGAGAAAUGUCAGCAGAUAGAAAUGGAUUAAGUCUGCCACUGAGUUGGUUACAAUCCAGAGGUGAGGGUCUUUGGAGUGACCUUUAUUUAAGAAAUAUCACAGCAAAGUCUGUUGGAAAGACGCUCUGGUGAAUGAUGGAGCCUGAUGCACGGUGUGUUCACUGGGCUCUCCGGAAAAAGAGCCAGCAGGAGGUGUCCAUAUCCUACAUACAGAGAAAGAGGUUGAGUUUAAGGAAUUGGCUAAUGUGAUCCUGAAGGCUAGCAAGUCCAAAAUCUGCAGGCUGGGCAGGUUCGAGACCCAGGGAGGAGCCGGCGCUGCCGUUCAAGUCUGAAGGUCAUGGAGCUGGAGAGGGGAGGAGCCAGUGCUGCCGUUCAAGUCUGAAGGUCAUGGAGCUGAAGACCCAGGGAAAAGUUGGUGCUGCCAUUCAAGUCUGAAUAUCGUGGAGCUGGAGACCCAGAAAGGAACCGGUGCUGCUGUUCUAGUUUGAGGGUCAUGGAGCUGGAGACCAGGGGAAGAGCCGGAUUGCUGUCGAAGUCUGAGGGUCGUGGAGCUGGAGACGUGGGGAGAAGCUGGUGUUGCCAUUCAAGUCUGAAGAUAGGAGAGCUGGAGACCCAGAAAGGAGCUGGUGCUGCUGUUCAAGUCUGAGGGUCAUGGAGCUGGAGACCCAGAAAGGAAAUGGUGCUACUCUUCGAGUUUGAGGGUCAUGGAGCUAGAGACUGGGGGAGGAGCUACCGUUCGAGUGGCGGCUCCCUGGGUCUCCAGCUCCAAGAUGCUCAAACUUGAACAGCGGUAGCACCAGCUCCUCCCCGGGUCUCCAGUUCCAUGACCCUCAGACUUGAAGAGUAGCACCAUUGCCUUUCUGGGUCUCCAGCUCCAUGAUCCUCAGACUUGAGGAGCUGGAGACCCAGGGAGGAGCCGGUGCUGCUGUUCCUGUUUGAGGGUCAUGGAGCUGGAGACCUGGGGAGAAGCUGGUGCUGCUGUUCAAGUCUGAAGAUAGUGGAGCUGGAGACCCAGAAAGGAGUUGGCACUGCUGUUCAAGUCUGAGGGUCGUGGAGCUGGAGACCCAGAAAGGAAAUGGUGCUAGUCUUCAAGUUUGAUGGUCAUGGAGCUGGAGAUAUGGGGAGGAGUCAGUGCUGCUGUUCUAGUUUGAGGGUCUGGGAUCUGGUGACCCGGGGAGGAGCCAGUGCUGCAGUUCAGGUUUGAGGGUCAUGGAGGUGCUGACCCAGGGAGGAGCUGGUGCUGCUUUUUAAAUUUGAGGGUCGUGGAGCUGGGGAUCUGGGGAAAAGCCAGUGCUGCUGUUUUAUUUUCAGGGUCACGGAGCUAAAGACCCGGGAAGGAGCUGGUACUGCAGUUCAAGUUUGAGGUUCGUGGAGCUGGAUAUCUGGGCAGGAGUCAGUGCUCCUGUUCUAGUUUGAGGGUCUGUAGCUGGGGACCUCUGGAGGAGCCGGUGCUGUUGUUUAAGGUUUGUGGAGCUGGAGACCUGGGUGGAGCUGUUGCUGCGGUUCAAGCUUGAGGGUCAUGGAGCUGGAGACCUGGCAAGAAGUCAGUGCUGCUGUUCUAGUUUGAGAGUCUUGGAGCUGGUGACCUGGGUAGGAGCCGGUCUGCUGUUCUAGUUUUAGGGUCUUGGAGUUGGUGACCUGGGGAGGAGCAGGUGUUGCUGUAAUAGUUAGGGUCGUGAAACUGAACACCUGGGGAGGAGCCAGUGCUGCUGUUCACAUUUGAGGGUCAUGGGAGCUGGAGACUUUGUGGCGAGCUAGUGCUGCCAUUCAAGUUUGAUGAUGGUGGAGCUGGAGACCUGGGUUGGAGCCAGUUCUGCUUUUUAAAUUUGAAGGUCAUGAGGCUGGAGACCUGGGCAGGAAUUGGUGCUGCUGUUCAAGUAUAAGGGUCAUGGAGCUGGAGACUCAGGAAGGAUCAAGUGCUGCAGUUCACGUGUCGUGGAGCUGGAGACCCGGGGAGGAACGGGUGCCCCAGUUCAAGUUUGAGGGUCAUGAAGCUGGAGACACAGGGAGGAGCAACAGUUUGAGGGAUGAGUGGCUGGAGACCUGGAGAGGAGCCAGUGUUGCAAUUCAAGUUUGAGUUUCAUGGAGCUGGAAACCUGGACAGGAGUCAGUGUGGCUAUUCUAGUUUGAAAGUCUUGGAGCUGGUGACCUGGACAGGAGUCAGUGUGGCUAUUCUAGUUUGAGAGUCUUGGAGCUGGUGACCUGGGCAGGAGUCAGUGCUGCUGUUCUGGUUUGAGGGUCUUGGAGCUGGUGACCUGGGCAGGAGUCAGUGCUGCUGUUCUGGUUUGAGGAUCUUGGAGCUGGUGAGCCAGGGAGGAGCUGGUGCUGCUGUUGUAGUUAGUGUCGGGGAGCUGGAGACUUUGGGUUGAGCCGCUGUUGUAGUUCAAGUUUGAUGUUCCUGGAGAUGGAGAUUGGUGGUGGGGGGGAGUCAGUGUUUCUUUUCUAGUUUCAAGGUCGUGGAGCUGGAGAACUGGAGAGGAGAUGGUGCUGCUAUUCUAGUUUGAGGGUCUGUAGCUGGGGACCUGCAGAGGAGCUGGUGCUGCUAUUUUAGUUUAAGGUCCCUGGAGCUGGAGACCUGGGCGGAGCUGUUGCUGUAGUUCCAGUGUGAGGGUCGUGGAGCUGGAGACCUGGUGAGAAAUCAGUGCUGCUGUUCUAGUUUAACAGUCUUGGAGCUGGUGUCCUGAGUAGGAGCCGGUCUGCUGUUCUAGUUUUAGGGUCUUGGAGCUGGCAACCUGGGGAGGAGCGGGUGUUGCUGUAAGAGUUAGGGUUGUGAAGCUGAAGACCUGGGGAGGAGCCAAUGCUGCUCUUCAUGUUUUAGGGUCGUGGGGCUGGAGACUUUGGGAGGAGCUAGUGCUGCCGUUCAAGUUUGACGAUGGUGGAGCUGGAGACCUGGGUUAGAGCCAGGGCUGCUUUUUAAAUUUGAGGUUCGUGGAGCUGGAGACCUAGAGAGGAGCUGGUGCUGCUGUUUUAUUUUCAGGGUCAUGGAUCAUGAGACCCAGGAAGGAGCUGGUGCUGGAGUUCAAGUUGGAGGCGUGGAGAUGGAGACUUUGGUUGGAGCUGGUGCUGCUGUUCUAGUUUGAGGGUCGUGAAGCUGGAGAACCAGGGAGGAGGUGGUGCUGCAGUUCAAGUUUGAGGUUCAUGGAGCUGGAAACCUGGGCAGGCGUCAGUGCUGCUGUACUAGUUUGAGAGUCUUGGAGCUGGUGACCUGCAGAGGAGCUGGUGCUGCUAUUACAGUUAGCAUCCUGGAGCUGGAGAAUUUGGGUGGAGCCAGUGUUGCAACUCAAGUUUGAUGGUCGUGGAGAUGGAGACCUGGGAUUGGGGAGCCAGUGUUGCUAUUGUAGUUUGAGGGUCGUGGAGCUGGAGACGCGGGAAGGAGUUGGUACUGAAGUUUAACUUUGAGGUUCGUGGAGCUGGAUAUGUGGGCAGAAGUCAGUGCUCCUGUUUAGUUUGAGGGUCUGUAGCUGGGGACCUGGGGAGGAGCAAGUGCUGCAGUUCAAGUUUAAGGGUCGUGGAGUUGGAGAUUUGGCGAGAAGUUAAGGCUGCUGUUCUAGUUUGAGAGUCUCGGAGCUGGUGACCUGGGUAGAAGCUGGUCUGCUGUUCUAGUUUUAGAGUCUUGGAGCUGUUGACCCCGGAAGAGCGGGUGGUGCUGUUAUAGUUAGGGUCGUGAAGCUGAAGACCAGGGGAGGAGCCGGUGCUGCUGUUUGAGAGUGGCGGAUAUUGAGACUCGGGGAGGAGCGGGUGCUGGAGUUCUAGUUUGAGGUGGGGAGCUGGAGACUUUGGGUGGAGCUGGUGCUGCUGUAGUUUGAGGGUCUGUAGAUGGGGACCUCGGGAGGAGCUGGUGCUGCUGUUUUAGUUUAAGGUCCAUGGAGCUGGAGACCCAGAGAGGAGAUGGUGCUGCUGUUCUAGUUUGAGGGUCAUGGGGCUGGAGACUUCAGCCAGUGCUGAAGUUCAAGUUUGAGGUUUGUAAACCUGGGCAGGAGUCAGGGCUGCUGUUGUAGUUUGAGGGUCUUAAAGCUGUUGUCCCAAGGAGGAGCUGGUGCUGCUGUUCUAGUUUUAGGGUCCUGGAGCUGGAGACCAGGAGAGGAGCUGGUGCUGCUGUUCUAGUUUAAGGUCCAUGGAGCUGGAGACCCAGAGAGGAGAUGGUGCUGCUGUUGCAGUUUGAGGGUCUGCAGCUGGGGACCUGGGGAGGAGCGAGUACUGCUGUUUUAGUUUAAGGUCCGUGGAGCUGGAGAUCCAGGGAGGAGCAGGUGCUGCAGUUCAAGUUUGAGGUUCGUGGAGCUGGAGACCCGGGGAGGAGCAGGUGCUGCAGUUCAAGUUUGAGGUUCGCAGAGCUGGAGACCUUGGGAGGAGCGAGUGCUGCUGUUCAAGUUUGAGGUUCGUGGAGCUGGAGACCCGGGGAGGAGCGGGUACUGCUGUUCAAGUUUGAGGUUCAUGGAGCUGGAGACGCUGGGAGGAGCGGGUGCUGCUGUUCAAGUUUGAGGUUCGUGGAGCUGGAGACCCGGGGAGGAGCGGGUGCUGCCGUUCAAGUUUCAGGAUCGUGGAGCUGGAGACCUGGUGAGAGAAGUCAGUGCUGCUGUUCUUGUUUGAGAGUCUCGGAGCUGGUGUUUUAGGUAGAAGCUGGUCUGCUGUUCUAGUUUUAGCGUCGGAGCUGUUGACCCCGGAGGAGCGGGUGGUGCUGUUACAGUUAAGGUCGUGAAGCUGAAGACCAGAGGAGGAGCUGGUCCUGCUGUUUUAUUUUGAGGGUCACAGAUAUUGAGACUCGGGGAGGAGCGGGUGCUGAAGUUCUAGUUUGAGGUGUGGAGCUGGAGACUUUAGGUGGAGCUGGUGCUGCUGUUCUUCUUGUUUGAGGGUCUGUAGCUGGGGACCUGGGGAGGAGCCAGUGCUGCUGUUUUCGUUUAAGGUCUGUGGAGCCGGAGACCCAGGAAGGAGCUGGUGGCUGUAGUUCAAGUUAGAGGUGUAGAGCUGGAGACUGGGUGUAGCCAGUGCUGCUGUUCUAAUUUGAGGUUUGUGGAGCUGGAGACCCAGGGAGGAGCUGGUGCCGCUGCUGUUGUUUAAGUCUGAGGGUUGUGUAGCUGGAGACCUGGGAGGAGCCUGUUGUGCUGUUUAAGUCUGA